AACGAACGCUGGCGGCAUGCCUAACACAUGCAAGUCGAACGAGACCUUCGGGUCUAGUGGCGCACGGGUGCGUAACGCGUGGGAACCUGCCCUUAGGUUCGGAAUAACUCCCCGAAAGGGGUGCUAAUACCGGAUAAUGUCUUCAGACCAAAGAUUUAUCGCCUUUGGAUGGGCCCGCGUUGGAUUAGCUAGUUGGUAGGGUAAAAGCCUACCAAGGCGACGAUCCAUAGCUGGUCUGAGAGGAUGAUCAGCCACACUGGGACUGAGACACGGCCCAGACUCCUAUGGGAGGCAGCAGUGGGGAAUAUUGGACAAUGGGCGAAAGCCUGAUCCAGCAAUGCCGCGUGAGUGAUGAAGGCCUUAGGGUUGUAAAGCUCUUUUACCCGGGAUGAUAAUGACAGUACCGGGAGAAUAAGCUCCGGCUAACUCCGUG
Molecule: ribosomal RNA, 433 nt
Filed under: uncultured bacterium
Lineage: Bacteria
Description: partial 16S ribosomal RNA
Rfam family: Bacterial small subunit ribosomal RNA
Source: RNAcentral